CCUACGGGAGUCAGCAGUGAGGAAUCUUGGUCAAUGGACGAGAGUCUGAUCCCGCCAAGUAGCGUGGAGGAUGACUGCCCUAUGGGUUGUAAACUUCUUUUAUAAAUGAAUAAAACGAGGCACGUGUGCCUUUUUGCAUGUACUUUAUGAAUCAGGAUCGGCUAACUCCGUGCCAGAAGCCGCGGUAAUACGGUGGAUCCGAGCGUUAUCAGGAUUUAUUGGGUUGAAAGGGAGCGUAGAUGAGUUGUUACGUCAGUUGUGAAAGUGUGCGGCUCAACCGUAAAAUUGCAAUUGAUAAUGGCAGUCUUGAGUGCAGUUGAGGGAAGCGGAAUUCGUGGUGUAGCGGUGAAAUGCUU
Molecule: ribosomal RNA, 356 nt
Filed under: uncultured bacterium
Lineage: Bacteria
Description: partial 16S ribosomal RNA
Rfam family: Bacterial small subunit ribosomal RNA
Source: RNAcentral